AUGAGAUCCCGCUCUACUCGCAGCACUUCACUCGGCACCGUCUCCCUCCAAUUACGGAGGUGGCGGCGAUUGGUAUAUGGACACGGGGGCUACCGCCCACAUGACGUCGCACCCCGGACGCCCGUACACGGAUGGUGCUCCACCGAUGUGACAGCCCCGACGACUUAUACCCGGUGCACUCCACCUCCACCGCCACCGCCUCACCAGUCGCCCUCGCCGCCGGUGUCGACCUCUGGCACGCACGCGUGGGUCAUCCCAACUCCACCGUCCUUCGCCAGAUUCUCAAGAGUUUUUCAUUUUCGUGUAAUAAAUACGAUGAGCACACUUGUCAUGCUUGCCGUCUCGGCAAGCACGUUCAUCGACCAUUUAGCGAGUCAAACACUAUCUCUUCUUUUCCGUUUCAGUUAA
Molecule: ribosomal RNA, 408 nt
Filed under: Triticum aestivum (bread wheat)
Lineage: Eukaryota; Viridiplantae; Streptophyta; Magnoliopsida; Poales; Poaceae
Description: partial small subunit ribosomal RNA
Source: RNAcentral